This is an RNA transcript of Prosopis cineraria, 2275 nucleotides long. RefSeq lists it as uncharacterized. The transcript has 12 exons. The record is from RefSeq and is a predicted model, not a curated record. NCBI's taxonomy places the organism in Eukaryota, Viridiplantae, Streptophyta, Magnoliopsida, Fabales, Fabaceae.
UGAGCCGUAACUCGGCAGCUGGGCGUCGAGGAGAUAAGUGAAGAUUGAGGGAAAUCAAGGGAAGGCGUAGAAAGGAGUGUCUCUAUGUCAAUGAUGAACACCAGUCUCUAUGGUUCGAUUGUUCGGCCAUCGCCUGUAAUUCCCGAGCGAUAUGUUCCGUGCAUUUCUCUCCGAAACCCUAAUCGUUUUAGGAAGGAAUCCAAUUGCAUUUCAUCUGGACUCAGUAUCUCUGCUCUAUCACAAGAGCUUGGUCUAGCGUCCUCCGACGACGUUUCGUUGCAAAACCCAGUGAUUGAGACCGCAGAACGAGUUCAAGAAGAGCAAAAAGAAGUAGCAACGGCAGCGUCUGAUAUAGUUAGUGGAGAUUCCGGCAUAACACCAGAAGAUAAAGCUUCCGGCUGGUCGACUAGAACUAAGAAGAAGAAAGAAGAACAGGAUAGCUCUGAUGAUAGGUUCACGAUCCGGAAUGGAAGGGAGGUUUUUGAAGAAAAAGCCUACCUAGUAGGUGUCCAGUGCAAGGGUGACGCACAGGAUUCCUUUGGCAUUGAAGAAUCCAUCAAGGAACUGGCCCAGCUAGCUGACACGGCUGGAUUAAUGGUUGUUGGCUCUACUUACCAAAAGCUCACUAAGCCAAACCCCAGAACAUACAUUGGAUCUGGCAAGGUUUCAGAGAUUAAGAGCGCAAUUCAUGCAUUGGAUGUUGAAACUGUAAUCUUUGAUGAUGAACUGUCAGCUGGGCAAUUACGCAACUUGGAAAAGGUUUUUGGUGGAGAUGUGAGAGUUUGUGACCGCACUGCCCUCAUCCUUGAUAUAUUUAAUCAGCGAGCUGCAACUCACGAAGCAUCUUUACAGGUUGCAUUGGCGCAAAUGGAAUACCAGUUACCUCGAUUGACAAAAAUGUGGACCCACCUUGAGCGUCAAGCUGGAGGACAGGUGAAGGGAAUGGGUGAAAAACAAAUAGAAGUGGACAAACGUAUUUUGCGUAAUCAAAUUGGUGUCCUUAAGAAAGAGCUAGAAACUGUGAGGAAACAUCGGAAGCAGUACCGUAACAGACGAAUCUCAGUGCCUGUGCCUGUGGUAUCCUUGGUUGGGUAUACCAAUGCUGGUAAGAGUACACUUUUAAAUCAAUUAACAGGAGCAGAUGUUCUGGCUGAGGAUAAAUUGUUUGCAACUCUUGAUCCAACUACAAGGAGGGUACAGAUGAAGAAUGGGAAGGAGUUUCUCCUCACAGAUACUGUUGGUUUUAUUCAGAAAUUACCUACUACACUGGUUGCUGCCUUUAGAGCUACACUGGAGGAGAUAUCUGAGUCAUCCCUUUUGGUGCAUGUGGUUGAUAUCAGUCAUCCCCUGUCAGAACAACAGAUAGAAGCUGUGGACAAAGUUCUGUCAGAACUAGACGUGUCUUCAAUUCCAAGAUUGAUAGUCUGGAACAAGAGCAACCCCUGGAGUAUGGAUGAACUAGAUCUCUCACUUAUGGAAUCUUCUCCAGCAUCCCCUAGCUCAUCGUGGACCAACAUUAUGGAGGACGACAGUGGUGUUGUUCUUCUGCCAGUAGUGUAUUGUGGCAGCUAUGGUGGUUUCUCUCCCACUCCUCACUGAACCAGUUCUUGGUCCCCAACUCAUGUAUGCCCACAAACUCAGAAAGAGCGUGCUUAUCAACUUUAGCGGAUGACAAGGGUUGGUGGAGCAAGGCAAAGCAUGGUGAGGGCAUCGCCAGGGAGGAGCCGGGAGGGAAGAACACACACAAGCUGAGACGAGAGAUGGGAGGAAUCAUGGCCUCCUUAAUUGGGUUGUGGAAGGUGGCAGUGGAGAGUUUGCUUCUGCUCUUGUCGGCCAUCACUCUGUGCGCCACGCUCUUGUAAAUCCCAUUGCUCAACACCUCCACGUGGUCCCACAUGUUCACAAAUAUAGUAUUGUUCUUUGAUGGAGGAAUCUCCUCCCACUUCCAAUCUCUCAAGAAUUCAAGACCUGGCACUUGGUCAUCCUGCAGCAGUAGGAUUAUCCCUUCCUGCACCCAUAAGAGCUCUCAGUCAUGUCACCACUACUUCUGGUUUUUGACAUUGAAGUGGGGGGGAGACAGAGAAGAGAGGGAGGAGAAAGAUGAGGAUGUGCAUUACGGGACAUCAAUUGAUUGCUAGAAGAGAAGGUGGAUAAGGCCAGUGAUCCCCAGAAAAUCAGGCAAGAAGCUGAGAAAAGAGAAGAUGUGGUAUGCAUGUCUGCUUUGAACGGGGAUGGCCUACCUGAAUUCUGCAAUGCAGUUCAAGAAAGACUGAAG